Long non-coding RNA from Cataglyphis hispanica, 492 nucleotides. RefSeq lists it as uncharacterized. NCBI's taxonomy places the organism in Eukaryota, Metazoa, Arthropoda, Insecta, Hymenoptera, Formicidae. The transcript is spliced from 4 exons. The record is from RefSeq and is a predicted model, not a curated record.
GUCGGCUGAUUCUUUCAAGCGUGUAAGUCGGAGUUUCUUUAUUUAAAGCAUCGGAUCGAUAAUAGGAGUCGAGGAUUUCAUCGUGGGCUGAUACGCUCGUACUAACAUUUUGCGUUAUGCCUGUUUGUCGUCUAAAUAAAGUACUGUAGGUAUCUUUAAUGAUUGACUUCUCCACUGAAAAAGUGCAAGACUGAAACGGAAGAGAUUGUAACAAUAAGUGAAAAACCGUUUUGUAUUUUAAUUACCUCUUGGCAACAUUGGGCAGAAGAAGAAGACGACGAAGAGAUGGUUGGAGAUGGAGAAGAAGAGAGAAUGAGAGGUGGUCACAGAGGCGUAAGUGACGGAUCACCCUUUACUUGUGGAAGCCCUCAGGGUGUUUUUGAAGCUCUUGGGAAGGUCCGAAUCGCAAUCCUGUUUAUGACAUCCAUAAAGUCAAUUAUAUAUACAUAUGUAUGUAUAUCUCAUCCAACGCAUGCGUAAUAUACAUUUAAA